Molecule: ribosomal RNA, 680 nt
Filed under: Chondracanthus acicularis
Lineage: Eukaryota; Rhodophyta; Florideophyceae; Gigartinales; Gigartinaceae
Description: eukaryotic LSU rRNA
Rfam family: Eukaryotic large subunit ribosomal RNA
Source: RNAcentral
GAAAAGAGGGUGAAAAGAGCCUGAAACCGUCACGGGGGAAGCGGAUUGCGUUGGAUUGAUGGGCGCUUGUGUGUUCAGCCUUCGGGUGCAUUGGCACAAGUGCUUAUCCGCUGUGAGUUUUCGGGGGUCGAUUUUGGACCCCUGGGGACUGAGGGCUCCCUUCUUUUAGGUGAGGACAGCGGAGUGACGACGCGAUACGACCCGUCUUGAAACACGGACCAAGGAGUCUAGCGCGGGUGCGAGUCGGAGGGUGCAAGCCCGUGGGCGAAGUGAAAGCGAGUUUUAAAAACGAGCAGUUUGGGGCGGCAUAAGAUCGUUGAUCUUAAGACCGACCCGGAGCAGUUGCGCUGGGACCCGAAAGAUGGUGAACUAUGCCGGAGUAGGGCAAAGCCAGAGGAAACUCUGGUGGAGGCUCGUAGCGGUGCUGACGUGCAAAUCGCUCGUCGAACUUGGGUAUAGGGGCGAAAGACUAAUCGAACCAUCUAGUAGCUGGUUCCCUCCGAAGUUUCUCUCAGGAUAGCGGGCCGACAAGUUGUUUUGUGCGGUAAAGCGAAUGAUUAGCGCAUUCGGGGGCGUUUAGCCUUUGGGCGAUUCUCAAACUUUCAAUGCGCAAGGGUGCCGCUGCUUAAUUGAGCGGUACCGGUAAAAACGUCGGCCCUGUGGGCCACUUUUGGUAAGCA